Molecule: ribosomal RNA, 710 nt
Filed under: Trichodesma calcaratum
Lineage: Eukaryota; Viridiplantae; Streptophyta; Magnoliopsida; Boraginales; Boraginaceae
Description: eukaryotic LSU rRNA
Rfam family: 5.8S ribosomal RNA (bases 285-440)
Source: RNAcentral
AAAAGUCGUAACAAGGUUUCCGUAGGUGAACCUGCGGAAGGAUCAUUGUCGAAUCCUGCAUAACGGUACAACUCGCGAACUAGUUCAUAAACAUAGGACCGGAUCAACUGUCUAGAAAUUCUAUGCAUUUGAUUUGUGCCUAUCUGCAAUAGGGGCAUUUGCCUCUGUGCUUAACAAACCCCGGCGCGAGAAGCGUCAAGGAAUACUCUAACAAGGGCUCGAUCCCGUCCUCUCCCGUUUGUGCGGUGUCGGGGAUUGGGGAAAGCUUCUUUCUAAACCAAUAUGACUCUCGGCAACGGAUAUCUCGGCUCUCGCAUCGAUGAAGAACGUAGCGAAAUGCGAUACUUGGUGUGAAUUGCAGAAUCCCGUGAACCAUCGAGUCUUUGAACGCAAGUUGCGCCUGAAGCCAUUAGGCUAAGGGCACGUCUGCCUGGGCGUCACGCAUCGCGUCACCUCUCCACACUUUUUGUAAAUGGGGUGGAAUGUGACCUCCUGUGCUUAGGGUGCAGUUGGUCAAAAUUUGAGUCCGAAGACUAGGAUGUCACGACAAGUGGUGGUUGGAUAACAACUUGUGUCAUGUCGUGUGCCGAACCUCUUGUGACCGUUGAGACCCUAAUUGCACUUGAUACCCUCCUCCUCGGAGAGGGAGCGUGUGCUAUGAUUGCGACCCCAGGUCAGGCGGGAUUACCCGCUGAAUUUAAGCAUAUCAA